GUAGGUGAACCUGCGGAAGGAUCAUUAUUGAAUUAUGUUUCUAGAUGGGUUGUAGCUGGCUCUUUGGAGCAUGUGCACGCCUGUUUGGAUUUCAUUUUCAUCCACCUGUGCACCUAUUGUAGUCUUUGGUUUGGGUAUUGAGGAAGUGGUCAGCCUAUCAGCAUUUGCUGGAUGUGAGGAGUUUGCAGUGUGAAAGCAUUGCUGUCCUUUACUUGGCCAUGGAGUCUUUUGCCUGCCAGAGUCUAUGUCAUUCAUUAUACCCUGUCGAAUGUUAUCGAAUGUCUUUACAUGGGCUUUCAUGCCUAUGAAAAUUAUAAUACAACUUUCAGCAACGGAUCUCUUGGCUCUC
Molecule: unclassified non-coding RNA, 349 nt
Filed under: rhizosphere metagenome
Description: partial ribosomal RNA internal transcribed spacer region
Source: RNAcentral